GACGAACGCUGGCGGCGCGCUUAACACAUGCAAGUCGAGCGAGAACCAGGGCUUCGGCCCUGGGGACAGCGGCGAACGGGUGAGUAACACGUGGGUAAUCUGCCCUCGGUUCUGGGAUAGCCCGGGGAAACCCGGAUUAAUACCGGAUGGCCUCUCGAGCUUUCGGGCCUGAGAGAAAAGGUGCUUCGGCCUCCGACCGAGGAUGAGCCCGCGGCCGAUUAGCUUGUUGGCGGGGUAACGGCCCACCAAGGCGACGAUCGGUAGCUGGUCUGAGAGGACGAUCAGCCACACUGGGACUGAGACACGGCCCAGACUCCUACGGGAGGCAGCAGUGGGGAAUCUUGCGCAAUGGGCGAAAGCCUGACGCAGCGACGCCGCGUGC
Molecule: ribosomal RNA, 382 nt
Filed under: uncultured bacterium
Lineage: Bacteria
Description: bacterial SSU rRNA
Rfam family: Bacterial small subunit ribosomal RNA
Source: RNAcentral